UACGUAGGGUCCGAGCGUUGUCCGGAAUUAUUGGGCGUAAAGAGCUCGUAGGCGGUCUGUCACGUCGGCUGUGAAAACCCGGGGCUCAACCCCGGGCCUGCAGUCGAUACGGGCAGACUAGAGUUCGGUAGGGGAGACUGGAAUUCCUGGUGUAGCGGUGAAAUGCGCAGAUAUCAGGAGGAACACCGGUGGCGAAGGCGGGUCUCUGGGCCGAUACUGACGCUGAGGAGCGAAAGCGUGGGGAGCGAACAGG
This 253-nucleotide ribosomal RNA is filed under the name uncultured bacterium. RNAcentral describes it as "partial 16S ribosomal RNA". It matches the Rfam family "Bacterial small subunit ribosomal RNA", at positions 524 to 776 of the family's 1533-position model. The record is from RNAcentral.